Agrilus planipennis (emerald ash borer) is the source of this 1224-nucleotide long non-coding RNA. RefSeq lists it as uncharacterized. The transcript has 7 exons. Lineage: Eukaryota; Metazoa; Arthropoda; Insecta; Coleoptera; Buprestidae. The record is from RefSeq and is a predicted model, not a curated record.
UAUUACAAACAUUGUAAAGUAAAUACACAAAAUAAUAGCCGCUUAUUGUACAAUUACAGGUAUACCAUUCAAAGAUGCUAAAAUAAAGACGACAACGUAUAUGGAAAGUAUUAGUAUUAAAAUAAAGUCAUUCAUUGUAUGCUAUAGGCCUACUAUAUCGUAUUUAAUAGUUAGUUAGUAGAUUAAGCUACAUUUAUUUGUCCAAGCUAUAUGUAUCGUAUGUAUGUAUAGGUAUACUAACUACUGUCUAAUUAGUAUUGACUUCAGAGUGGUAAUUUGUUCAUAGACAACAUUACAAUCAAAACGUAGGUACAUAAAAGUAACACAACAUUUAACAACAGCUGAUUUUGUGACGGCUCGCCACAUACGGACAAUAUUUUUUACGGUAAUAAUAAUAAUGCGUCAAACAAUCACGCCUUCACAAGAAAUUUUUAGCAACAAAUCGUAGUUUUAUCAAUUAGGAAACGUUGUAAAUCCAUCUUUAAAAAAACAUUUGAAUCAUUGAUAAUUUUCUUUUUUAGGUUCCGUACGUCUGUCCGUCUGUCACAGUCAAUUUGCUCCGAAGCUAUUGGACCGGAAGUUCCGAUCUGCCGGAGAUUUAUCUUUGCCAAUUCAUCACACCGAACCGAGUAAUGUAAACGAACUCGAAACCGAAGUUCCCUUUUAAGAAGGAGCAGGAAGCAGACGUAUAGUUUUGAUUUCUCAAACGUAUAGAAAUUAUCUACUGAUACAUGUUCGGGAUGCUGCCUCAUGCCAUCGGUGUGACUCUCACCGCCUCUCGCCAUCAAGGAGUUGGAUUUAGGAAAUGGAAAACUAGCACCGCACUGCCAUUCCGAAUGAAGUGGAGAAAUUUCCAUAAUUUGAUUUCAAAUACUUGCACCGAAAGUCGUAAAUGGAGUAAGAGAGUUUGAAAGAAGUUAGGCGUCCAACUUCGACGUGCAUUCGAGGUGUGUGGAUGCAUUUGCACCGACUGCCAAAUCGAAAAUGUGAUGAAUCGAAAAAUAAAUCAUCAACUAAAACUACUCCUGGAAAGCACUUAUUUGACAUGGCACUUGAAAACUGUCGACACCAUAAGAUUUAUCGUACCUCUUUAUAUAAUCAUCACUUUUUAAAGUAAAACUACUGCUGGAAAGCACUUAUUUGACAUGGCACUUGAAAACCGCCGACACCAUGAGAUUCAUCGUAUCUCUUUACAUAAUCAUCACUUCUUAAAGUAAAACUACU